GAACACCUCCCGGCCUUUUUAACCGAGUUCAUGAGAUGUUUGCUGGCUGUUCCUUGAUUUAUCUAAUGGAGUUAGGAUCCUAGGUUCAGAUGUAUGUAGCAGACUCAAGAUUCAGGCACUGGCUCCGGCGAUGAUGACCCGGUGCGGGAAAUUAAGGGGUUUCUGAAGACCAUAAAUCUUCAAAGACUCUUGAUCGUAAGCGAUAGCUGCGAGCUUCGGUGUCAUAUAAGUCCCAAGGCGUACCUGACGACCAUCGGGAUGGGUUAUUGUAGCGAUAUACGUACUCCCCAGCUUGUUCACACCCAGUAGCCUCCACCCCCUCUUUCUCUCACCGCAAGAGGUCUGGCGCCCCAAAUGCCACCACUCUUCCAUCUCAUCAACCUCUUUCUUUUUCUUAUUCGACUUCUUCUUCUUCUCCUUCUUCUUCUUAACACCGCCGCUCAACUUCCUCAACGCCUCUUCUUUCUUUUUCUUCUUCUUCUUCUCCUUAUGCAACAACUUCCCUGAUGAUGAUGAUGGUGAUUGUGUAUCCUCCAAACUCAUCGCCGGAAAAAGCUUACAGAUAUCAUAUUCGGACGACAUCGCCGGAAGAAAGAACGGGUGGGUGUUACCUAUUUUUAAUAGCCAAGAGAGACAAG
This 638-nucleotide long non-coding RNA is filed under the name Helianthus annuus (common sunflower). Lineage: Eukaryota; Viridiplantae; Streptophyta; Magnoliopsida; Asterales; Asteraceae. The record is from RNAcentral.